RNAcentral lists this ribosomal RNA (739 nucleotides) under uncultured bacterium. RNAcentral's name for it is "bacterial SSU rRNA". It matches the Rfam family "Bacterial small subunit ribosomal RNA", at positions 48 to 755 of the family's 1533-position model. The record is from RNAcentral.
CCUAUAAUGGCAGUCGAGCGAGCCGAACUAAUUGAUUACCUUCGGGUAUGAAGUUAGGGAAGCGAGCGGCGGAUGGGUGAGUAACACGUGGGUAACCUACCCUAUAGUCUGGGAUACCACUUGGAAACAGGUGCUACUACCGGAUAAAAGGAGAGAUCACAUGAUUUCUUUUUGAAAGGCGGCGUAAGCUGUCGCUAAAGGAUGGACCCGCGGUGCAUUAGCUAGUUGGUAAGGUAACGGCUUACCAAGGCAACGAUGCAUAGCCGAGUUGAGAGACUGAUCGGCCACAUUGGGACUGAGACACGGCCCAAACUCCUACGGGAGGCAGCAGUAGGGAAUCUUCCACAAUGGACGCAAGUCUGAUGGAGCAACGCCGCGUGAGUGAAGAAGGUUUUCGGAUCGUAAAGCUCUGUUGUUGGUGAAGAAAGAUAGUGAGAGUAACUGCUCAUUAUUUGCCGGUAAUCAACCAGAAAGUCACGGCUAACUACGUGCCAGCAGCCGCGGUAAUACGUAGGUGGCAAGCGUUGUCCGGAUUUAUUGGGCGUAAAGCGAGCGCAGGCGGAAAGAUAAGUCAGAUGUGAAAGCCCUCGGCUUAACCGAGGAAUAGCAUCGGAAACUGUCUUUCUUGAGUGCAGAAGAGGAGAGUGGAACUCCAUGUGUAGCGGUGGAAUGCGUAGAUAUAUGGAAGAACACCAGUGGCGAAGGCGGCUCUCUGGUCUGUAACUGACGCUGAGGCUCG